UGACUUAAAAAGAAACUGGUAUUAAUCUCCUUUAAAUUAAAUUCAGAAGUUUUGAUGGUAAAAAAAUUUAUUGAGUCUAUUUCAAAAACAACAAGCACAUCUUAAUUUAAAAAUUUGUAGACCAAGAUAUAAAUAAUUUAGUGACUGCUACUCAAGUAGACAACCCUGUUCUUUGUAUAUGUGAAAGCGCUUGUUAUGCCUACAUGUGAAGAUAAUGAAAGAUUAAGGUUAGUAUCUGUGAAAUUAAAUAAAAAUAAUUGUGUGAAAGAUUUCACGAAAGAAUCUUGUGAGAAAUAACAAGAAAUUAAUUGGGAAAGUGAAAUAAUAAGUGUCAUGAAAAGUGGGCAUGAAAAAUAAAUUCAUUAGUAUUUGAUAAUCAAGCUCGAGGUACUAAAUUAAAUAAAGCGUAGAAGUGUAAUCAGUCAGGACUAAGUGUGAAAUAAUAUUCGUGUAAUAGUUAAGAAAUGUAUUCGCAUUAUGCUAAGAUAUAAUUGCAUUAUGAAAUAAGAUCAUGACAUGAUUUAAAAAGAAAAGUGAACAAGAGAGUAAAAUCAUGUAAUAUGCAUAUAUGUAUAUAUGUAUAUAUUUCGGAAUAUAAAGUACAAUUGAAAUAUGAAUUAUAAUCAUGAAAUAUAAUAAAGUAUCAUGCUUAAAUAAAUAAAAUCGUGCAAUCACAUAAAAACCUUGGUAAACUAGGCAAGACUCGUGGAAUAUAUUUGGCAUGAUAUAGGAACUUGAUCGCUUUCAUGUUAUUCGUGUUACUCGUGACACUAUGAUGCAAAUAGUGUUAUUCGUGAUAUUCAUAUUUGUUCUGUGUAUCCUUCGUGGUUCUCCAUCGCUUAUUCAAGGUAUUUGUGUAAGAAAGAAGUAAAAUAAAGGUCAUAAAGUGAAUAAAAAAUGAGUCAUGAAUAAAUUAAGUAAUAAUAUGUGGUAAGUAAACCUCUAAGAUCAUGUAUUAUGUUUAUGGUAUUAAGUGAUAAAAAUAUUUCUUGGUAAUUCAUCUAUAAAAUGACAUAUCAUGAAUAAUCGUGAUUAUAAAGAAGUAAUGUAUUGAAAAGAUUUUAUAUUAAAUAUCUAAUUAGAAUUAGAAUUCAUGCAAAUACUUACUAAGCUACCGUGAAGCUUAACACGAUAUUUCAAAUGCGUAGUGUGCAGAUAGUGCUCAAGAGGAAAAAGAGCUCAUUUAAGCUAAAGGAUCACAUCUUAUCUUCAAUAUGGCAUGGAUUAUGAAUUAUGAAGGCAAAUUAUGAAAUUAGAGUGGCAUGUACAUAGGUCAACAAUUUAUUGAAAUUGAAAAAUAGUGUUGUAAGUGUAUUGAUGUCUUGAAGUCAAAUGGAAAAUUUUAAGGUAAAUGUGGAUAAUUGUUAUUUAGUGAAAUUAGAGCCCAAAUGUGGCAUCCUUCACUUAGGUUAUCAAUUUAAAUCAGGUAAGGGGUGUUACAGGUAUCCCUUAAUAUACUUUAGCUUUUGAUAAGCUGUAACAUUGAAAAACACAAGCAUACCUCCAACAUAUUUAACAAUAUUUCUUGAAGCAACCAUUACUUUAUUUUCAGUUAGCCCUUCAAUUUUAGACAACUUUUCAAAUAAGGUUUCAUAUUUUUGGGCAACCAUUGGCUUAGUUUUAAAAUUCCUAACCUAGCUAGAUUGUUCAAUGAAGACUCAAGCCUAUCACCACGCUCUUUUGCCAUAUUAACAAGAUCACAGGUUUCAUUGAUCUUUACAUAUAUUGACAUAACAUAGCUCUUAUCAACAAUUUUUGGGGAAUUCAAGUCCUCAUACUUUCCUUAAUCAUUAUAUUCAACUUCAUUAAUCUCGUCUAUGAUAUCAAUAGUAGAUUGAACAUUCUUUUUAGUAGCUUUCUCUUUCCCAUAGAUCAUGGUGAUCUCAUCAAAAUAAAGGAAACUUAUCAUCCCCCAAGUGCUCCAUUUUUGUUGCUCUACCAAAAUUGAAAUGUAACACCUAGACUUGGCGAAGUCUUGAAUCUGGGCGUAUAGGUAAAAGGAAAUUUGGUUGGCACGAUCCUACUCACCCUAUUGAUGUUUCGGUGCCCUAGUGGGGUGCAUAGGCAAUAAUGGAAAGUUAAAUGUAGGAAUGUCAUCUGUAAAGUAUGAGUAUAUGAAGGAGAAAUUGACAAAAGAUGUCAAGGGUUCGUGAGUUGUAUAGCAUGUCGCUAAGAUUAAGGCACGCCUAGAUAGUUUAGUUGAUGUGUAGGUAGUACAGUAACAAGAUAGUUAGAAAUGAACGAUUAGUCAAAUCGAAAAUAUGAAAAGAUUUUGAAUUCUUAUACACGGUUCAUCAUAACUCUAGGCCACCAAUGAGGAUAGAUUUAAAAGUUGAGUGACGUGUCAAGUCUCAUAAUAGAAGCAAUGAUUUUUACUAAGAAAGCUUUUGAACGAAGGAAGGUUAUCUUUUUCCUUCUAUUUAAGGGAGCACGAUGACUAGCUUCAUAUAAUUGUUGAUUAUGAGGUUUUCCUGCGAUAGUAAGACUAGCGAUUAGAGUUCAAGCAUAGGGUUGUUUGUCCACCCGGGGUAAGUGUUCUAGACUCAUAUGAGUUUCUCUUACGAAAGUGAGCUUGCUUGAGUGUAUAUAGAAAGAUAUAGAAGUAAGGCCUUAUAUAGAGUUAAGUUUUGACAGCAUUCUUAUGUCAUACAAAUAGUGGCCUUCAAGAGUCCGUCUGUAGAUGUAUGAACUUGGAAUCUAAGCUGCUAUUAAUGUUAUCAGGUGAGUCUCUAGACUAACUCUUACAUGUAUAUUGUAGUCUAGAUAUUUCUGUGCUAAUUGACUAAAGAAUGAAACUGGAACUAGUAAAACAUGACUCUAUGACUCUGAAAAGGAAAUAAACAGUAUACGUAUAUGUAUAUUUGAAAGAUGAAUAUGUCUGUUAUGAGCUAGUCACUGUUUGAACAAGUUUCUUAUAAAAGAGUCUAUUAUGAGUAAGUCUAUGCAUGAAGUUUAAGGGAAUGUGUUACAUGUCUAUAAGCAUGAAUGCAUCUGUUAUGAAGAAGUCUAAAAAAAAAGUUUGUCAAGUAUAAGUCUGCAUGAUGAAUAUGUGUUUGUCUCCAUAGUCGUCUAGAGAAGUCCAUCGGGACUAAAAACAUGAAUCUCUAAUAAGGACAAGUUCAUGUUCAUGACAUUCUGACGACCAUAUAGUGUAAGACCUUUGCUAGGCCACGACAUCAUAUGGAAUAUGUAAAGGACGGUUGGGUAAGUACCAGCCAUAAGGGGAAAACCUCACGACAGUUAGUAUAGGUGAAUCCCUAUCAUUAAAAAACAUUAUUUUUCGUAAAAGGAUGCCUUUGUGACUAUUUUUGAAAGGAUGUCUUUGUGGCUAUCUCAGUUAAAAGUGAGCCUUUGUGGUAGUUUCCGUAAGGAAGCCUUUGUGGCUAUCUCUGUUAAAAAGGAAGUCCUUGUGGCAAUCUCUAAUAAAAAGAAUGCCUUUGUGACUUUUUCUGUUAGAAGGAUGCCUUGUGGUAAGACUCUAAAAGGAAAGCCUUUGUGGCUAUUUUUGGAAGGGAAUGCUUUCAUGGCGAAAUUUGAAGAAUGGAGUUUAUGAUGAUUAUUUGAAGACAAUGCCUUCGGGCGGACUUUGAACGAAUGGCGAACAUGAAAUUCUGAGAAUUGGCAAGUGCAUAUUAGCUUUGAAAAAAAGGCAAUAUGGAAUGUUAUGGCGAAGUCUGUACAAUCAAUAGGGUCAAAUUCAUGAACGAGAAAUAAAUGACGAAAUCCUUGAAUAAAUGCUCAGGUAAGAGAGGGCUUUCUCACUAAGUUCUAUCGAACUUACCCCUCUGUGUUUUAUGUUUUAGGUAAGGGAGACGUUAAGAGGGACAAUGCCAGGGCUGUGCCAAAGGAGUGGCGAAGUGGGCACUCAUGCAUACAAAGUGGGGGCUGCACAGGCAUGUUGAGUCUGAUAGAAAUGUUAUUGUACAAGCCUCAAAAAUUGAUUUGUAGGCUUCAUGGAGUGAUUAGACUGUGUUGGGCAAUAAAUGAAAUCAGCAAUAUUAUUUAGAGGUUGAAUAAGAGGGAACGGUACAAGCCAAUAUGAUGUGUAACUAUAUUUGCAAGUUUCAAACAUAGAGUACACCCAAAUGUAACCUUGACAGGAAAUAUUAUUAAGUAAGAUGUAUUUUUUUGGAAAUUCAAAUGUUUUAAGCUUGUAUAAUUCUGUAAUAGUAACGUAACACCCGAGAUUAGGAUUCAAUGAAUCAGGUCGGGUUGAGGGCGUUACAAGUUUUGGUAUCAGAGUCUAGGUUUAGGCAGUCCUCAGACUAUGAAAGAUGAAAGAGCCAUGUAUCCAUAGUGCGCCAAGCCUGGCUUAAUUCCUUAGGUAUGGUAGACUUUUCUUACCAUAAAAAUUGAUGUUGUCGUAAUAGUUAAAUGAUAAAAGGCUAAAGAUGGAAUCAAAGAAUAGAGUAAGAACAAAUGACCAUUCUAUCUAUAAAAGAUGUCCUACUAAAAGAGAUGUACAAGGCAAGAUUAAAAAAAUAUUAUUUUCCUCCCUCUACGGGUUGAUUAUCAGGCCCAACCGAAGCCUUAUUUGGUGGAAGAUAACCUUCAGGAUCCACACCACACCCACUAAGUUUUCUUUCUUAUCAUUAAUUUUGGGCGUAGAAGGGGUAGAGAAGACAAUAAAUUUCUUCCACAUCUCCUGAAAGGCCUUUCACUCCUCACCUUCGGGAUUGUAAACAUUGAAGUCGAUUGAGUCUCUGGAAACACCCUUUAAAUGCUAGAACUUACCUUGCUCAGGUUGACCGGAUCUAUGGCUAUUUAGGCAUGCAAAAUCAAAUUUUCCCUCCGCUUAGGAAAGACCUUGACAACGUUUCUCUGAGUAUCUUCCUAGUACUUUUUAAGGACCUCGUCAUGAAAAUGGCGCUGGCUGUCUAGAGUUGCUUGAUGACUCAUAUCCAUGAACUUAAGUUUCUCAUCAAAGGCGAGCUUCUCAUUCGUCAAGGAAAUGACCUCCUUUAAAUGUUCAAUUUCAGUCUGAGCCUCUUCGUGUUUCUCUGUCAAGAUCAAGAGUUGUAUAUCCAUUUUUCCAAUAAGGGAAUUGGCCUCCCUAUGCCUCUAGCAUAGUUCAGCAAAUGAGUCUUCUCUAACUUUCACAACCUUCUCUAAGUCAGAUAGUAUGCUCCUAUAACGCUGGCUAGCAUUUUUGUAAGCCCUGCCCCAAAGACUUUUCUUAAUAGAUGAGAUUUUAGAAACUUGGGCUAUGACAGCGAAAUGAUCCCCGUUUGAAACAUUUGAGAAAUAAGAGGAGAAAUAUUCCUCAAUUGUGGGGGCAACGAACUUAACUAUUGAUGAGAAAGAACGUUCAGAGGCGUUGAGCUUGGCACAGACUCCAGAAUGGCAUGCCAAUGGAAGAUACUACUUGACCUAACAAGGGCAACGUUAGGGGUUUGAAGAAAUAACAUGGUUGGAUGGACCGCAGGAGUCUCUUCCAUAGGACUUGAAGAUCGGGAAAGACCUAAAGGAAGUAUAAAAGAGCCAGGGCAAGGAGUAAAAUCCCCUGGAAUCGAUGAGACCUCAAGAAGGGCAAGGGAUAAUGCCUUACUAAAGGAGGACACCUACUACUUUCUGACUUUAGGGUGCUCUCGUCUGAUCUAAUCCUCUUCUUUGAUUUUUGUACUGCUGAUUUUUUAGGCAAAGCAGCAGGAGUCCUUCUUGAACUAUGAACUCGCUUAAGAAUUAAGGUGACAUCCAUCUCUUGAGAACUGGAAAAAGAGAAAGAUCUUACACCAUCAAUGAGAGAGUUAUCCCGAAAAGAAAAAAAAGUAGAAUCAGAAACAACACUAGUAAUAAUAUUUCAGUUUCGUGUUGAGAAACCGCAAAUACGGUAAAAGUAGGAAGGAGGCUUUCUUUUAUGCCAUAACAGUAUUUUCUCUAAGUCAUCAUCUGAGCUAUACAGCCAGGCCCCGUAAGCAGAAAGCACCCUCUGACCAUUCAACUUUACACUAGGCUCAUUCCUUUGUAAGCCAUUUGGGCUAAGUUCUUAAAGGUAAUAUUGAAACAUGUUUCUCACCAAAACCAGUUUCACUAAGUCCAACACUCGUCCUUUUUUCAGUCGCUCAAUCUAAAUCUUGAAGAGUUUUGAAUCGAUCGACUAGCAUUAUUUACAAGUGCUCUUCUUAUGGAGAGACCACUUAGUAGGAAAACCUAAAUAAGACCUAAAAUUACUGAUAAGACAUAUGUAUUUGCCCUUUUACUAAUGAAGGUUUGAGAUGUGGUUUUGGAUGAUUAGCUCACACCCCGAAUGCACGCUAAAGUGAGCGCUUCCAGCAAAAACACCCUAUCUAGUCAAUUUUAGUUGAUAAAAUUUUUGGAAGACACGCAACAUUGGUGGUUCCUUAUGUAUACAAUAGUCAAUGUAAUAAGCCACCAGAUUCCACCAAGAUGUAGUUGAUAGUUGCCCCGAUAUGAUACGAUAUUUAUUUAAAAUGGCAUAGCAGAAAUGAUUUAGAGGCAAAUGGAAUCCAGCUUCUAAAAGGAUCAAGGGUAAAAUGAACCCUCUAGAAUUACUACUCAAACAAUUAUGAUCGAGUAUUUGGAAGGUCUAGGUAAAUUUUUGGGUUUUGAUGCCUCGAGCCUCUAAGUAACAAGUCCUUUCAUCUCGGGUAGUGCUAUAGGUAACUGGUGAGGUUUCUACUCUAGGAAAAGUAAUUUUGAGAUUCUGACAACCAGAUGGAUUGAAGCUAGCCUGAAUAAGGGUUUAAUCAGUUUGGUUAUGGCUUAUCUAUCAUGUGGUAGUGCAAACCAUUGUGAUGACAAGUAACGCAAAAAUGAAAAAAGAGAAAGAAAUGAUGAAUGAUACCUUGAACUGACGAAGACAAAUAAGCAAAAAAUGGGUUGAGCAGACAAGAGAAUUUUAGGGAUUUAAAGUAUUUGCUAAAAAAUAGGGAGAAAAAUAUAUUGAAAUGAUGGGAUUAAAUAAGAGAAAUCUUACACAGAAAGUUAAGGUGAGACGACCAAUUUAUAUACUCCAAUAGGGUGACGACGUUUAUCAAAAAAGGGGGUACAAAAAUUUGAAAACUCAGGUGCGACCGCUCCAGUUUAAGUUUGCCAAUACUACAGAAAUUUCAAGGUCAAAAUUUUCUAAGAGAGGAAGAGUUGUAACAUCGAGCCUUGGCAAAGUCCUUAGUCUGGGUGUGUAGGUCAAAGGAAAUUUGGUUGGCGUGAUCCUACUCACCCAAUUGACGUUUUGGUGUGCUAGUGAGGCGUAUAGAAAAUAAUGGAAAGUUAGAGGUAGGAAUGUCCUCCGUAAAGUAUGUGUACAUGUAGAAGGAAAAAUUGGCAAAAGAUGUCAAGGGUUUGUGAGUGGUAUAGGAUGUCGCCAAGAUUAAGGUGUGUUUAGAUAGUUUAAUUGAUGUGUAGGUAAUACACUGACAAGAUAGUUAGAAAUGAACAAUUGGUCAAAUUAAAAAUAUAAAAAGAUUUUGGAUUCUUAUACACAGUUCCUCAUAGCUGUAGGCCACCAAUUAGAACAUAUUUGAAAGUUGAAUGACAUGUGUCAAGUCUCACAGUAAAAACAAUGAUUUUUUCUAAGAAAACUUCUGAAUGAAGGAAGAAAGGUUAUCUUCUUCCUUCUAUUUAAGGGAGCACGAUGGCUACCUUCAUAUAAUUGUUGAUUAGGAGGUUUUCCUGCGACAAUAAGACUAGCGAUUAGAGUUCAAGUAUAGGGUUGUUUGUUCAUCCACGGUAAGUGUUCUAGACUCACAUGAGUUUUUCUUGCGAAAGUGAGCUUGCUUGAGUAUAUAUAGAAAUAUAUAGAAAUAAGGCCUUGCAUAGAUUUAAGUUUUGAUAGCAUUCUUAUGUCAUACAAAUAGUGGCCUUCAAGAGUCCGUCUAUGGAUGUAUGAAAUUGGAACCUAAGCUGCUAUUAAUGUUACCAGGUGGGUCUCUAGACUGACAUUUACAUGUAUAUUGCAGUCUAGAUAUUUCUGUGCUAAUUAACUAAUGUAUGAAACUGGAACUAGUAAAGCAUGACUCUAUGACUCUGAAAAGGAAAUAAACAGUAUACGUAUAUGUAUAUUUGAAAGCAUGAAUAUGUCUGUUAUGAGCUAGUCACUGUUUGAACAAGUCUGUUGUAAAAGAGUCUAUUAUGAGUAAGUCUAUGCAUGAAGUUUAAGGGAAUGUGUUACAUGUAUGUAAGUAUGAAUGCAUCUAUUAUGAAGAAGUCUAAAAAAAACAAGUUUGUCAAGUAUGAUUCUGCAUGAUGAACAUGUAUUUGUCUCUAGAGUCGUCUAAAGGAGUCCACCGAGACUAAAAUAGGAAUCUCUAAUAAGAACAAGCCUAUGGCCAUGGAAUUCUGAAGACCAUAUAGUGUAAGACAUUGGCUAGGUCACAACAUCAUAUGGAAUAUGUAAAGAACGGUUGGGUGAGUACUAUCAAUAAGGGGCAAACCUCACGAUGGUGAGUAUAGGCGAAUACCUAUCAUUAAAAAAGUACCAAUUUUUGUAAAAGGACGUCUUUUUGGCUAUCUCAAUGACAAGUGAGCCUUUGUGGUUAUCUCUACUAAAGAAGUGACUUUGUGGCAGUUUCUGUAACAAAGUCUUUAUGGCUAUAUUUGUUAAAAAGGAAGCCCUUGUGGCGAACUCUGUUAAAAUGGAAGCCUUUAUGACGAUCUCUAAUAAAAAGAAUGCCUUUGUGGCUUUUUUUGUUAGAAGGAUGCCUUGUGGUAAGACUCUGAAAGGAAAGCCUCCGUGGAUAUCUUUGGAAGGGAAUGCCUUCGUGGCGAAAUCUGAAGAAUAGAGCUUAUGAUGACCAUCUAAAGACAACGCCUUCGAGCGGACUCUGAACGAAUGGCGAACAUGAAAUUCUAAGAAUUGGCAAGUUCAGAUUGCUUUGAAAGAAAAGCUAGUAUGGAAGGUUAUGGCGAAGUCUGUACAAUCAAUUGGGUCAAAGUCUUGAAAGAGAAACAAAUAACGAAAUCCUUGAAUAAGCACUCAGGUACGAGUGUGCUUUCUCACUAAGUUCUAUCUAACUUACCCCUUUGUGUUUUAUGUCUUAGGUAAAAGAGACACCAGAAGGGACGAUGCCAGGGUUGUGCCAAAGGAGUGGCAAGGUGGGCACUCAUGCAUACAGAGCGGGGGGUUGCAUGAGAAUGUUGAGUCCGAUAGAAAUGUUAUUGUACAAUAUUUAGAAAUUGAUUUGUAGGCUUCAUAGAGUGAUUAGACCGUUUUGGUCAAUAAAUGAAAUCAACAAUAUUAUUUAGGGGAUGAAUAAGGGGGAAUAGCACAAGCCAAUGUGAUGUGUAACUAUAUUUGUAAGUUUCGAAUAUAGAGUACGCCUAAAUGUAACCUUGAUGGGAAGUAUUAUUAAAUAAGAUGUAUUUCUUUGGAAAUUCAAAUGUUUUAAGCUUGUAUAAGUCUGUAAUAGUAACAUAACACCUGAGAUCCAGAUUCUAUGAAUCAGGUUGGGUUGAGGGCGUUACAUGAAAAUUCUAUGAAAUGUGUAAAAAAAAUCUUUCAAUUCAACCCAAACAUAAUAAAACAUUUAAUUGUGCUUGUUAUUAAUUGAUAAAUAUGACAUUUAAGACAAAAUAAUUUACUUAACUUCAUAAUUGCAUCCCAAAUAGGUUAUUUUGUCAUAACAAUUUUUCUAUAGUGUUUCAUCCAAAAACAAUACUAUUAUGCCCAUAAAUCAUAUCAUAUCCAACUCCUCAUUCUUUCUUCAAAGUCUUAAGCCUCAAAUCUAUAUAAGGUUUAGCUUUCGAGUCACAUCAAGGAUAUUUAUCCUUUAACAUCUUUUCCAAAAUUGAUAAAUAGCCUUGGUUAAAGCCACAAUCAACAUUUUACAUUCCAAUGCUAUAUAGAUUCAUCAUGCAUAAAAUAAGUUUAAGAGUCUUUAAUUUCAUUUCAAUGCCUAUUUGUAUCUUUGACUGGUCGGCUAAAUAAUUCAUCUAAUUUGGAGUAUUAUCCUACCAUUAAUAUUUAAACAAAAUAAAAUUAUAAAAACUAUUUCGUAAGGUUAAAUUUAGUUCAAAAUAUACCACAAACACCUCAAUGAAACAAAAUAGUAAAACAAUAUAAAAUUUCCAAAUUUAAAUGAAAAUAUAAACAAACAUUAUUAUUAGAAGGUUUUGGUAUCAGAAAGUUCAAUAUGGUGCAAAAUAUACUACACACAUUAACGAAAAAUGUCAUACAAAAAUGAGAAAAAAAUGCAGAAUAACAAUGAAAAAAACCCAUAUAAGAUAAUAUAGUGAAGCUCAAUUUCCUUCUUUUGUUACCUUUCAUUGAUUCAACAUUUGAUUAGUAAGUUGAGUUUUGAAAUUUAUCCAUUCAUUCUAAUUAAUUAUAUUUAUUCAUUUUCAAUAUAUUUCAUUUCAUUAAUUCCUAAUGCAUUUAAGUUUCCUUCUAUAGGACUCACUUACAUUUCUCUCUUUAUUAAGUUGUGUAAAAGGAAAAGUGCAAUGAUAAUUGCAUUUUUAGGUCUUAAUGAGGUAGAAUGCAAGACUUGUUAAUAUCAUCCAAUGUAGUUUCAUCAAGUCAAAGCAUCUUUCUAUUAUAUUGCAUGCAAAAGCAUGCCUCAUAUUGAAAAAUUGUGCAGUAAUAGCAAGUUGACCGUCAUACUUACAUUCACUUAACCUGUAAUGUUGUCCCCUAAAAGUGGCUAAAAACCAUCACAAUUGGUAUACCCUGCAUCAACGAGGUAAUAACAACUUAAAAAUACAAAUUAUAACUCUUACAUUACAAUUUAAGGUUUUUACACUACAAAAUUUAAUGUAUAAUUAUCUUACCUUGUGGCACUUUUGAACCAUUGGGCCAAUUAUUUGCAUCUCGGAGGACUCUACUAUUAGCAAAAAAAUCUUCUCAACCAGGAAGAACAUACACAAAUUGCAUAUCAAGAAUACAAACGCCUCUAUAAUAGGCCCAAAUCUUUUAAAUCACAAUAAUAAUUAAACAAUGUAAUAAUUAGUAAUAUAAAACUUAAUAUUAUCUUGCUUUUAUUAUUAAACAUACGAAAAUUAAAACUUAAUAUUAUCUUGCAUUUAUUAGUAGAUAUACCAAAAUUAAAGUACCUUGAACCAUUUCCAUCUUUUAUCUGUAAUAGGCCCAAAUCUUUUAAAUCUAAUUUUCCUUAUCCAAGGUUGGUCCUCCUCUGGUGUUUUUGCUAUGCAAGCAACUGACAACUAGGCCAAACAAUUUACCUAGUCUCCCUUUUCACAACAACUACCUUUCUUACCCCUAAUCUUGUGUUUGGUGACCCAUUUUUCUUUCCUUCUUAUUGUGAAAAUAAUUGAGCUUCUUUUUCCCUUUUCCUUGGUGUUGAUGGUUCAUCCUCCCUAAUGUCUUAUCCGACGAUCACACUAUUAGUCUCCCCAUUGGCGUUUUCUCCCUAGUGAUAGACUUCAUUUUCUUGAGCUUUGGCUUUUGUCACAUCCCAAAAACUGAGGGUUAGUAAAAUUGGAUUUGUGAACCAAGAGAGAGAGUGGUGAUGCCCUAAUUUUUGAGAUUAUCUAUGCCCCAAAAGAACUCCAUGGCCUCCUCUAUCUUCUUGCUUGAGUGUUAUUUUCUUUAAUUUUUCUUGAUGGAUCUUUCAAUAAAAUACACAAUUUUUCAGAUCUGAAAUUGCGGUAAUUUUUAAAGAUUUAAUGAGUAUUUUUCCGGUCUUUAAAGUGAUUUUUAAAUGUGAUUUUAAAUCUGUCCCAAAUUGGUCACCGUUGGUGGUGGUGUAUGCACCUAAAGGCUAGAAAGGGGGCUGUUGUUCCUUUAAUUUGUUAUCAUCUUGACAUCAACAUGGAAUUUGAAGAAAAAUUGAAGAGACAUAUCAUGGUGUGUGAAGAAAAAAGUAGUACCUCUUGAUUACUUCUGCCAUUGAUGAUGUUAAGUGGAAAGACCCCUCUCUAGUCUGAAGUUUGAAAAUGAUGAUCUAAUAAAUUAAAGAAGAUAAUAAU
Molecule: long non-coding RNA, 11886 nt
Filed under: Gossypium barbadense (sea-island cotton)
Lineage: Eukaryota; Viridiplantae; Streptophyta; Magnoliopsida; Malvales; Malvaceae
Description: long non-coding RNA (GBAR_LNC017902)
Source: RNAcentral